Molecule: long non-coding RNA, 768 nt
Filed under: Homo sapiens (human)
Lineage: Eukaryota; Metazoa; Chordata; Mammalia; Primates; Hominidae
Description: DLX6 antisense RNA 1
Rfam family: Embryonic ventral forebrain-2 long ncRNA (bases 23-164)
Source: RNAcentral
AGAGGUGCUGGGGUGUGCAAACAAUUUCACACCUGGAUGUGCUCACUCAACCAAGAAUAUAGAGAAAGAGCUUCUGCCCUGAGACUCAGAAAAAUAUUCUCCUGUGCUUUGGUUCAGUAUAGAUUUCUAAACCCUGAUCAUUGCUUAAGAGAUAUUCACUGAGGUUGCUGAGACAAAGGAAAACCCACUCCCUUGGAGGAGCAUGACCUUUUCCUGUAAUUCUUCCCACUGCUGUUGUUGAGCUCCUUGGAUCCUGGCUCCUGGACACCAUCAUCAAGAAGACUUUAUGGAUGGGCUGUCCACCCACUGAGAGAAGAGGAGCAUCAGCUACAGUUUCUCUCUAGAUUGCCUUCUUCAUUUUGAGUAAUGACUGUCAGCAGGGUCAGAUUAAACACAAAACAACUGGACAAUUGCUUGGAGGACUAAACUAUAAGGGCACUAACAUGUCAAUAGUAGGCUAACACAUCCAUGGAAAAUAUAUUUACCAGCUCUUCUCUCAGGGAGGAUUCUGUGUGGGGUUGGAAGUAAUGAUUUGUUAAAUUCCUUAGGGGUAGAAAGUAGGGCAUAAUCAGAAUAUAGAGGAAUAUGCUGUUUGACUUCAGGGUUUCUGUUUUUCUUACUAGGAUAUAUAAAACAGGGACUCUAGCUAGAUUGUUUAUGACCACAGAGGGUAGGCUGAGUGCUCCCAUGAUCUUCCUGCUUGGUUCUUGCCCAUACAGAGGUCAGCCUUUCCUCUAAUAAAGAUUGAACAAGUAGUGGUCUGAGGGA